UCCAGGUCCAUUUUCCGGAAGUACAGGAAGUUGGUGAUAAGACGCCAGAAUUGAUAAUGCUUAACCACAAGUGUAGGAUGCAAGUACAGAUUAUGAGGAGAUAUUAUAUCUAGGGAACAACCGAUGGUGGUGACAAUAGCUGCUGUAAGAUUGCUGUUAGAUAAGAGCGGGUGAUAAUAGGCAUCUGCUUGUACCAUUCCUCAACUGCUUGAGCCAUAAUUACAAAUUUCCUAUAAUCUCUAGUUAAUAAAAGGGUUUGGCUAAAAUUUUUGAGAUUAAAAAAAAAAACGUAAUGACUUAGUGAUUAAUAACAAUCCUUCAGAAGAAGAAAUAGCAAAAGGGAUUUCGAAGAUCGACACACACAGUUUUGGAAUAACAGAAGGAAAGAGGAGCUAGUUGCAGAACAGCUAACAUACGUGCGAUGUAUGUACCCAACCCCAGUCUGCUAUCUCUGUCAUGGCCAAAAGCAUAUUUUG
This 476-nucleotide unclassified non-coding RNA is filed under the name Hevea brasiliensis (rubber tree). Lineage: Eukaryota; Viridiplantae; Streptophyta; Magnoliopsida; Malpighiales; Euphorbiaceae. The record is from RNAcentral.